GAUGGACGCUGGCGGCGUGCCUAAUACAUGCAAGUCGAACGAAACUUCUUUAUCACCGAGUGCUUGCACUCACCGAUAAAGAGUUGAGUGGCGAACGGGUGAGUAACACGUGGGCAACCUGCCCAAAAGAGGGGGAUAACACUUGGAAACAGGUGCUAAUACCGCAUAACCAUAGUUACCGCAUGGUACCUAUGUAAAAGGUGGCUAUACUACCGCUUUUGGAUGGGCCCGCGGCGCAUUAGCUAGUUGGUAGGGUAAAGGCUUACCAAGGCAAUGAUGCGUAGCCGAAUUGAGAGGUUGAUCGGCCACAUUGGGACUGAGACACGGCCCAAACUCCUACGGGAGGCAGCAGUAGGGAAUCUUCCACAAUGGGCGAAAGCCUGAUGGAGCAACGCCGCGUGGGUGAAGAAGGUCUUCGGAUCGUAAAACCCUGUUGUUAGAGAAGAAAGUGCGUGAGAGUAACUGUUCACGUUUCGACGGUAUCUAACCAGAAAGCCACGGCUAACUACGUG
This 512-nucleotide ribosomal RNA is filed under the name uncultured bacterium. RNAcentral's name for it is "partial 16S ribosomal RNA". It matches the Rfam family "Bacterial small subunit ribosomal RNA", at positions 28 to 507 of the family's 1533-position model. The record is from RNAcentral.